Pygoscelis adeliae (Adelie penguin) is the source of this 651-nucleotide long non-coding RNA. RefSeq lists it as uncharacterized. The transcript has 4 exons. Lineage: Eukaryota; Metazoa; Chordata; Aves; Sphenisciformes; Spheniscidae. The record is from RefSeq and is a predicted model, not a curated record.
GCCACAGGUUAACUGAUGUUAAGUCAGUUGCAAGUGUUUUCCCUUGCAGUGUGUAAUGAAGUCCACGGAUCUGCUAGUGCUCUUCUGUAAUGUGAAAAUAGCAAGGGGUAAAUGGAUGGCUGAAAAAUUUCUAUAGCAGUUGCUUCUAAAUGAGUCCACGGGGAAACCUCUACAGGCUUUGAAUAAUGUAUAUACUACAGCCUAACUCUAAGCGGGGCAUCAGACUGCUUCAUAACCCUGAAUACAGAAAAGCAACUCCUAGGUAAUUAACUUGUGCUGUCUUUUGCUUAUAGCUGUAGGCAUCUUUUGAAGGCAGCAAAAGUUUGUACUCUGCCUUUGACAGUUACUCCAGAACUGCUCUAUUGUAAGAGAAGAUUGUGUGCUCCAGAAGAGCCGAAAGCUGUGAAUGGUGGGAGUGACACCCAGGUUACUGAAGACUGAGCUGAACCAAGAACACCACUGUCAAUCUCCAUCUUUGUGCAAAGAAAACUGGCUACAAGUGGGUGACAAUGGCCUAGCAAAUGUCUACAAUGAGAAAGUCCUGCUGCAGUAAAAUAUUUCUGAAACAGGUGGGUGGUGAUGAUGACGGAAGAGCUUUUGUUGUAUUGUCCUCCUGGUGAGACAGGCUUUGUGAGAUGGAUAGUGCUUUCU